CCUACGGGAGGCUGCAGUGAGGAAUAUUGGUCAAUGGGCGGAAGGCUGAACCAGCCAUGCCGCGUGAAGGUCAGUGCCCUAUGGGCGUUAAACUUCUUUUGUGCGGGAGCAAUAAUGGUCACGUGUGGCCAGACGAGAGUACCGUACGAAUAAGCAUCGGCUAACCCCGUGCCAGCAGCCGAGGUAAUACGGGGGAUGCAAGCGUUAUCCGGGUUUAUUGGGGUUAAAGGGGGCGUAGGCUGUGAGGUAAGUCAGCGGUGAAAUGCCCCCGCGCAACGGGGUGAAGUGCCAUUGAUACUGCCUGGCUGGAAUGCGGAUGCCGUGGGAGGAAUGUGUGGUGUAGCGGUGAAAUGCAUAGAUAUCACACAGAACACCGAUUGCGAAGGCAUCUCACGAAUCCGCGAUUGACGCUGAUGCACGAAAGCGUGGGUAUCAAACAGGAUUAGAUACCCGUGUAGUC
Molecule: ribosomal RNA, 460 nt
Filed under: uncultured bacterium
Lineage: Bacteria
Description: partial 16S ribosomal RNA
Rfam family: Bacterial small subunit ribosomal RNA
Source: RNAcentral